Molecule: RNase P RNA, 410 nt
Filed under: Fulvimarina endophytica
Lineage: Bacteria; Pseudomonadati; Pseudomonadota; Alphaproteobacteria; Hyphomicrobiales; Aurantimonadaceae
Description: Bacterial RNase P class A
Rfam family: Bacterial RNase P class A
About the family: Ribonuclease P (RNase P) is a ubiquitous endoribonuclease, found in archaea, bacteria and eukarya as well as chloroplasts and mitochondria. Its best characterised activity is the generation of mature 5'-ends of tRNAs by cleaving the 5'-leader elements of precursor-tRNAs. Cellular RNase Ps are ribonucleoproteins.
Source: Rfam by way of RNAcentral
UCAGCCGGCCGGGCGGCCGCUCUCGCCAAUCGCCGAAAGGUGGCGGGGGAGGAAAGUCCGGGCUCCACGGAGAGACGGUGCCGGAUAACGUCCGGCGAGGGUGACCUCAGGGAUAGCGCCACAGAAAACAGACCGCCCAUUCGACUUCGUGCGGAAGGGUAAGGGUGAAACGGCGGGGUAAGAGCCCACCGCGUUGCCGGUAACGGGAACGGCACGGCAAGCCCCACCGGGAGCAAGACCGAAUAGGAACGACGCGGACGGCCGAUGGUCGUCCAUCCGAUCUCCGGGACAGUCGUUCGGGUGGGUUGCUCGAGGCGUCUCGCAAGAGGCGUCCCAGAGGAAUGGUCGCCGCGCGCUUUCGCCGUCUGGCGGUGCGCGAACAGAACCCGGCUUACAGGCCGGCUGACACU